GAUUAGUGGCGAACGGGUGAGUAACACGUGAGCAACCUGCCCUUGACUCUGGGAUAAGCCUGGGAAACUGGGUCUAAUACCGGAUAGGACCUCCUGCCGCAUGGUGGGGGGUGGAAAGCCUUGUGCGGUCUUGGAUGGGCUCGCGGCCUAUCAGCUUGUUGGUGGGGUGAUGGCCUACCAAGGCGACGACGGGUAGCCGGCCUGAGAGGGUGACCGGCCACACUGGGACUGAGACACGGCCCAGACUCCUACGGGAGGCAGCAGUGGGGAAUAUUGCACAAUGGGCGGAAGCCUGAUGCAGCGACGCCGCGUGGGGGAUGACGGCCUUCGGGUUGUAAACCCCUUUCGGCAGGGAACAAGCCGCUUCGGUGGUGAGGGUACCUGCGGAAGAAGCGCCGGCUAACUACGUGCCAGCAGCCGCGGUAAUACGUAGGGCGCGAGCGUUAUCCGGAAUUAUUGGGCGUAAAGAGCUCGUAGGCGGUUUGUCGCGUCUGCUGUGAAAGCCCGGGGCUCAACCCCGGGUCUGCAGUGGGUACGGGCAGGCUGGAGUGCAGUAAGGGAGACUGGAAUUCCUGGUGUAGCGGUGAAAUGCACAUAUAUCAGGAGGAACACCGAUGGCGAAGGCAGGUCUCUGGGCUGUAACUGACACUGAGGAGCGAAAGCAUGGGGAGCGAACAGGAUUAGAUACCCUGGUAGUCCAUGCCGUAUACGUUGGGCACUAG
RNAcentral lists this ribosomal RNA (722 nucleotides) under Actinomycetes bacterium. RNAcentral describes it as "bacterial SSU rRNA". It matches the Rfam family "Bacterial small subunit ribosomal RNA", at positions 90 to 819 of the family's 1533-position model. The record is from RNAcentral. Lineage: Bacteria; Bacillati; Actinomycetota; Actinomycetes.